UUUCAGUGGGUGGUUGUUUCCUGAUGCUGUCUCCAAGUUCGGAGGGUGUGGACAUUUGAGUACAGCCCCCCAAGAAAUUAUAUUGAGAAAUCCAGAUGUGCAGUUGUGCAAGAGCAAGCUGGUGUGGAUUUUUGAAUGGAUAUUCUGAAGACAACUAGGUGCAUGUCCCAGCAAAGCUUCGCAAAGAUGUCAGUAUUAAUUGUCACCAUCCUCCAGGGAGAAAGCAACAGCCCACAAUUGCCUGCAUUUUCUUUCCUCUUCAAAACCACUUCUGCUCCAAAGACCAUGAACCUGAACUGAAGAAACGACUCCUUCCUGCUGGUGUGAGAUAAUUCAGUCUCCAUGAUGUCUUAAUCCUGGGCCUCCCUUAAUUGACUUCUAACUGUGCUGAACUGUGGCUGCUAGGAGUUGCAAUGUGGAUCGCAAUUUACAAGGAAGAGAAAAAGACCGGUCUCUGUUUGGAAAUUACAAACAUAGAAGAACUUAGAAACAAUGGGUUUCUAGAUUGGGUGGAAGGUGCCUGGCUACUUCAAGAGUUGAGCUAAUCACAGGGAAGAUUCAGUCUCAGUUCAGCUGCCUCAUUUGAUCAGCUCAAGACUGAGUCCAACAAAAGUGGUCUGUCUAAUGAAACUCAUUUUCAUUUUUUCUCAUUAGUCUAUACACGAUUGAGACUGUAGAACGACAAAAGAAUAAAAAGAAGAAUGACAAUUAAAAAUCAUUUUCUCUGGCCCUUGAUUUUUGCCUUCUUUUUUUUAAAUGUAGUUACGUGCUCAUUUUUUGUUUCUUUUUUAUUCUCUGCUCUUCUUUUCUAUUGAUUUUCCCAUUUAUGAAGGGGGAAUUAGUAAAUCCAUGGUCUGAGUGCUGAGAUGUUCUGAUAGGCCUUCAAGUUUUCAGCUGUACUCUGAAUCAGAAUAAUAUACUCCAUCAAGGAGACUGACAUUGGCACCACCUUCCCAGAAAUCCAGGAGCGCCUUUGCAUGAGGAAAAGCAGAAGGGAGUAAAGUCAUGAAACAUUGUGUGUGUGUUUGUAUAAAACUGUAUAUUUUUGCUCACAUAUAAUAACUAUAUAUUUCUGCUAAUUUUUCCUUUUAAAGGCUAUUAAGUUACUUAAAAUCCAUUGCCUAAUAAAACUGCAAUUCACCUUUGUAAUUCACUCAUUUGUUUGCUGUCACAGGGAAGAUAGAAAUUGAGCACGUUUUCGGCUGGGUGUGGUGGCUCACGCCUGUAAUCCUAGCACUUGGGGAGGCCGAGGUGGGCGGAUCACGAGGUCAGGAGAUCGAGACCAUCCUGGCUAACAUGGUGAAACCUCGUCUCCACUA
RNAcentral lists this long non-coding RNA (1319 nucleotides) under Homo sapiens (human). Its description in RNAcentral is "HSALNT0140397". Lineage: Eukaryota; Metazoa; Chordata; Mammalia; Primates; Hominidae. The record is from RNAcentral.